Molecule: long non-coding RNA, 256 nt
Filed under: Elaeis guineensis (African oil palm)
Lineage: Eukaryota; Viridiplantae; Streptophyta; Magnoliopsida; Arecales; Arecaceae
Description: long non-coding RNA (EGUI_LNC035743)
Source: RNAcentral
AAUAAUUUAAUAUAAAAAUAAAUAAUCUAAAAGACCUAAAAUUUUUGAAUCUACUAGAUCAAUGAUUUAGAAAAGCUUCCAAUGGUUUCUCUUAUGAUGUCUCUUGAUUAAGGUAAGUGUGAACAUCAAGAAAAAAUUCGUCCGAUCGCAUUGGAUGCUCGAAAGAUAGAAUAGAUUAGUAAUUAAAAUUUUCAUAACACUUAUGAAUUCUCACAUUGAUUUAUAGUAAAAAAUAAUCAAGAUUGAAGAAGCUCCU